GUUAUCAAGAAGUUCAGAUUCUGAUGAAGAAGGAAGAAUUGACCCAUGAAAAGUCAAUCUUUUAUAAUAUUUUUGAAAAGGAACACAGCACAAAGGGUAGACUGGCUUCUGAGAAAAUGCAUGCCAGGAAUUUCAGUAUCUGAUGUGGUGGUGACAGAAAGAAAGAGACAUUACCAAGAAGGAAUUCAGAUAAGAGACAAACCACAUUUUGAUUACUACCAACUUACUGAAUUGGAAGUGGAGGUCGAUUUGGGAGGAAAGCUGUGGCCAUAAACAUUGAAGAAGACGAGCAGAUUCUUUGUGACAUUGAGACUUUGU
RNAcentral lists this long non-coding RNA (318 nucleotides) under Ursus americanus (American black bear). Its description in RNAcentral is "lncRNA (ENSUAMG00000027685.1)". Lineage: Eukaryota; Metazoa; Chordata; Mammalia; Carnivora; Ursidae. The record is from RNAcentral.